AAUGAAGAUAACUUAAGUAAAAACAGUAAAACACAAAACAGAAAAGACAGGCCCAUAUUCCCUCUCCGCUCCAGCAGCACAUUCUUUCAAUUUGGUCUUUUCCUUCCUCAAUCAACUGGCUUCCUUCUUCCAAUCUUGCAUGGAGGAUGGCGGUGCUGCAAGGGAAGGGAGGAAGACUGUUUGUGAAAAAAGAAAAGAAAAGA
RNAcentral lists this non-coding RNA (203 nucleotides) under Chromera velia. Lineage: Eukaryota; Chromeraceae. The record is from RNAcentral.